Sinocyclocheilus rhinocerous is the source of this 349-nucleotide long non-coding RNA. RefSeq lists it as uncharacterized. The transcript has 3 exons. The record is from RefSeq and is a predicted model, not a curated record. NCBI's taxonomy places the organism in Eukaryota, Metazoa, Chordata, Actinopteri, Cypriniformes, Cyprinidae.
CACCUAAAAUGAUGAGAGUUUCUCCAUGCUGCGGGAAAGGGACAUGCUGGGUCAGGAAUCAUUAAGACCAGCAGGAGAACUGAAUUCAGCGACAGAGAUUGGAAAGAAAAGAAGAAUCACAAGUGGGAUCUCUUUCAUCUCAUCAGUGAAAAGCAUUUGAAGUCUACUGAUGUUUCUCCUGAGAAAAAGACCCCAGUAAUCUCUCCUGUAGAGUUUCAAAAGAGAUCUUAACAUCCCAGACUCGAUCAGAUUUGCCUGCUGCAGUCAAAGCUUGCCCACAGACAGAGCAAACUUCACUAACCCGUGUUUGCAGCACCUGGCACAGCCGGACAUCCUCACAAUGUCCAAA